GUGCCAGCAGCCGCGGUAAUUCCAGCUCCAAUAGCGUAUAUUAAAGUUGUUGUGGUUAAAAAGCUCGUAGUUGAACCUUGGGCCUGGCUGGCCGGUCCGCCUCACCGCGUGCACUGGUCCGGCCGGGCCUUUCCCUCUGUGGAACCCCAUACCCUUCACUGGGCGUGGCGGGGAAACAGGACAUUUACUUUGAAAAAAUUAGAGUGCUCCAGGCAGGCCUAUGCUCGAAUACAUUAGCAUGGAAUAAUAAAAUAGGACGCGCGGUUCUAUUUUGUUGGUUUAUAGGACCGCCGUAAUGAUUAAUAGGGACAGUCGGGGGCAUCAGUAUUCAACUGUCAGAGGUGAAAUUCUUGGAUCAGUUGAAGACUAACUACUGCGAAAGCAUUUGCCAAGGAUGUUUUCAUUAAUCAGGAACGAAAGUUAGGGGAUCGAAGACGAUCAGAUACCGUCGUAGUCUUAACCAUAAACUAUGCCGACUAGGGAUCGGACGGUGUUAUUCAUGACCCGUUCGGCACCUUACGAGAAAUCAAAGUGCUUGGGCUCCAGGGGGAGUAUGGUCGCAAGGCUGAAACUUAAAGAAAUUGACGGAAGGGCACCACCAGGGGUGGAGCCUGCGGCUUAAUUUGACUCAACACGGGGAAACUCACCAGGUCCAGACACAAUAAGGAUUGACAGAUUGAGAGCUCUUUCUUGAUUUUGUGGGUGGUGGUGCAUGGCCGUUCUUAGUUGGUGGGGUGACUUGUCUGCUUAAUUGCGAUAACGAACGAGACCUUAACCUGCUAAAUAGCCCGCAUUGCUCCGGCAGUGCGCUGGCUUCUUAGAGGGAACU
This 829-nucleotide ribosomal RNA is filed under the name uncultured fungus. RNAcentral describes it as "SSU rRNA". It matches the Rfam family "Eukaryotic small subunit ribosomal RNA", at positions 564 to 1422 of the family's 1831-position model. The record is from RNAcentral. Lineage: Eukaryota; Fungi.